UACGGGGGGGGCAAGCGUUGUUCGGAAUUACUGGGCGUAAAGGGCUCGUAGGUGGCCAACUAAGUCAGACGUGAAAUCCCUCAGCUUAACUGGGGAACUGCGUCUGAUACUGGAUGGCUUGAGUUUGGGAGAGGGAUGCGGAAUUCCAGGUGUAGCGGUGAAAUGCGUAGAUAUCGGGAAGAACACCCGUGGCGAAGGCGGUUCUCUGGGACGGUACUGACGCUGAGACGCGAAAGCGUGGGGAGCGAACAGG
This 253-nucleotide ribosomal RNA is filed under the name uncultured bacterium. RNAcentral describes it as "partial 16S ribosomal RNA". It matches the Rfam family "Bacterial small subunit ribosomal RNA", at positions 524 to 776 of the family's 1533-position model. The record is from RNAcentral.